AUACGGAGGGUGCAAGCGUUACUCGGAAUCACUGGGCGUAAAGCGCGCGCAGGCGGCUUGAUAAGUUGGAUGUGAAAGCCUACGGCUCAACCGUAGAAUUGCAUCCAAAACUGUCAAGCUAGAGUCUGGGAGGGGAAGAUGGAAUUAGUUGUGUAGGGGUAAAAUCCGUAGAGAUAACUAGGAAUACCAAAAGCGAAGGCGAUCUUCUGGAACAUUACUGACGCUGAGGCGCGAAAGCGUGGGGAGCAAACAGGAUUAGAAACCCCAGUAGUCC
Molecule: ribosomal RNA, 274 nt
Filed under: uncultured bacterium
Lineage: Bacteria
Description: partial 16S ribosomal RNA
Rfam family: Bacterial small subunit ribosomal RNA
Source: RNAcentral